This 408-nucleotide ribosomal RNA is filed under the name bacterium enrichment culture clone ALO1_GLFRUDD03HJB1X. RNAcentral describes it as "bacterial SSU rRNA". It matches the Rfam family "Bacterial small subunit ribosomal RNA", at positions 9 to 416 of the family's 1533-position model. The record is from RNAcentral.
GAGUUUGAUCAUGGCUCAGAUUGAACGCUGGCGGCAUGCCUUACACAUGCAAGUCGAACGGCAGCACGGGAGCUUGCUCCUGGGUGGCGAGUGGCGAACGGGUGAGUAAUGCAUCGGAACGUAUCCUGGAGUGGGGGAUAACGUAGCGAAAGUCACGCUAAUACCGCAUAUUCUGUGAGCAGGAAAGCGGGGGACCUUCGGGUCUCGCGCUCUUGGAGCGGCCGAUGUCGGAUUAGCUAGUUGGUGAGGUAAAGGCUCACCAAGGCGACGAUCCGUAGCAGGUCUGAGAGGAUGAUCUGCCACACUGGAACUGAGACACGGUCCAGACUCCUACGGGAGGCAGCAGUGGGGAAUUUUGGACAAUGGGGGCAACCCUGAUCCAGCCAUGCCGCGUGAGUGAAGAAGGCC